This 2902-nucleotide ribosomal RNA is filed under the name Klebsiella pneumoniae. RNAcentral's name for it is "23S ribosomal RNA". It matches the Rfam family "Bacterial large subunit ribosomal RNA". Lineage: Bacteria; Pseudomonadati; Pseudomonadota; Gammaproteobacteria; Enterobacterales; Enterobacteriaceae. The record is from RNAcentral.
GGUUAAGCGACUAAGCGUACACGGUGGAUGCCCUGGCAGUCAGAGGCGAUGAAGGACGUGCUAAUCUGCGAAAAGCGUCGGUAAGGUGAUAUGAACCGUUAUAGCCGGCGAUGUCCGAAUGGGGAAACCCAGUGUGAUUCGUCACACUAUCGUUAACUGAAUACAUAGGUUAACGAGGCGAACCGGGGGAACUGAAACAUCUAAGUACCCCGAGGAAAAGAAAUCAACCGAGAUUCCCCCAGUAGCGGCGAGCGAACGGGGAGCAGCCCAGAGUCUGAAUCAGCUUGUGUGUUAGUGGAACGGUCUGGAAAGUCCGACGGUACAGGGUGAUAGUCCCGUACACCAAAAUGCACAGGCUGUGAACUCGAAGAGUAGGGCGGGACACGUGGUAUCCUGUCUGAAUAUGGGGGGACCAUCCUCCAAGGCUAAAUACUCCUGACUGACCGAUAGUGAACCAGUACCGUGAGGGAAAGGCGAAAAGAACCCCGGCGAGGGGAGUGAAAAAGAACCUGAAACCGUGUACGUACAAGCAGUGGGAGCACCUUCGGGUGUGACUGCGUACCUUUUGUAUAAUGGGUCAGCGACUUAUAUUCUGUAGCAAGGUUAACCGUAUAGGGGAGCCGCAGGGAAACCGAGUCUUAACUGGGCGUUAAGUUGCAGGGUAUAGACCCGAAACCCGGUGAUCUAGCCAUGGGCAGGUUGAAGGUUGGGUAACACUAACUGGAGGACCGAACCGACUAAUGUUGAAAAAUUAGCGGAUGACUUGUGGCUGGGGGUGAAAGGCCAAUCAAACCGGGAGAUAGCUGGUUCUCCCCGAAAGCUAUUUAGGUAGCGCCUCGUGAAUUCAUCUUCGGGGGUAGAGCACUGUUUCGGCUAGGGGGUCAUCCCGACUUACCAACCCGAUGCAAACUACGAAUACCGAAGAAUGUUAUCACGGGAGACACACGGCGGGUGCUAACGUCCGUCGUGAAGAGGGAAACAACCCAGACCGCCAGCUAAGGUCCCAAAGUCAUGGUUAAGUGGGAAACGAUGUGGGAAGGCACAGACAGCCAGGAUGUUGGCUUAGAAGCAGCCAUCAUUUAAAGAAAGCGUAAUAGCUCACUGGUCGAGUCGGCCUGCGCGGAAGAUGUAACGGGGCUAAACCAUGCACCGAAGCUGCGGCAGCGACACUAUGUGUUGUUGGGUAGGGGAGCGUUCUGUAAGCCUGCGAAGGUGUGCUGUGAGGCAUGCUGGAGGUAUCAGAAGUGCGAAUGCUGACAUAAGUAACGAUAAAGCGGGUGAAAAGCCCGCUCGCCGGAAGACCAAGGGUUCCUGUCCAACGUUAAUCGGGGCAGGGUGAGUCGACCCCUAAGGCGAGGCCGAAAGGCGUAGUCGAUGGGAAACAGGUUAAUAUUCCUGUACUUGGUGUUACUGCGAAGGGGGGACGGAGAAGGCUAUGUUAGCCGGGCGACGGUUGUCCCGGUUUAAGCAUGUAGGCUGAUUGUCCAGGCAAAUCCGGAUAAUCAAGGCUGAGGUGUGAUGACGAGGCACUACGGUGCUGAAGUAACAAAUGCCCUGCUUCCAGGAAAAGCCUCUAAGCAUCAGGUAACAUUAAAUCGUACCCCAAACCGACACAGGUGGUCAGGUAGAGAAUACCAAGGCGCUUGAGAGAACUCGGGUGAAGGAACUAGGCAAAAUGGUGCCGUAACUUCGGGAGAAGGCACGCUGGUGUGUAGGUGAAGUCCCUGCGGAUGGAGCUGAGACCAGUCGAAGAUACCAGCUGGCUGCAACUGUUUAUUAAAAACACAGCACUGUGCAAACACGAAAGUGGACGUAUACGGUGUGACGCCUGCCCGGUGCCGGAAGGUUAAUUGAUGGGGUUAUCCGUAAGGAGAAGCUCUUGAUCGAAGCCCCGGUAAACGGCGGCCGUAACUAUAACGGUCCUAAGGUAGCGAAAUUCCUUGUCGGGUAAGUUCCGACCUGCACGAAUGGCGUAAUGAUGGCCAGGCUGUCUCCACCCGAGACUCAGUGAAAUUGAACUCGCUGUGAAGAUGCAGUGUACCCGCGGCAAGACGGAAAGACCCCGUGAACCUUUACUAUAGCUUGACACUGAACAUUGAGCCUUGAUGUGUAGGAUAGGUGGGAGGCUUUGAAGCGUGGACGCCAGUCUGCGUGGAGCCAACCUUGAAAUACCACCCUUUAAUGUUUGAUGUUCUAACGUUGGCCCCUGACCGGGGUUGCGGACAGUGUCUGGUGGGUAGUUUGACUGGGGCGGUCUCCUCCCAAAGCGUAACGGAGGAGCACGAAGGUUAGCUAAUCCUGGUCGGACAUCAGGAGGUUAGUGCAAUGGCAUAAGCUAGCUUGACUGCGAGCGUGACGGCGCGAGCAGGUGCGAAAGCAGGUCAUAGUGAUCCGGUGGUUCUGAAUGGAAGGGCCAUCGCUCAACGGAUAAAAGGUACUCCGGGGAUAACAGGCUGAUACCGCCCAAGAGUUCAUAUCGACGGCGGUGUUUGGCACCUCGAUGUCGGCUCAUCACAUCCUGGGGCUGAAGUAGGUCCCAAGGGUAUGGCUGUUCGCCAUUUAAAGUGGUACGCGAGCUGGGUUUAGAACGUCGUGAGACAGUUCGGUCCCUAUCUGCCGUGGGCGCUGGAGAAUUGAGGGGGGCUGCUCCUAGUACGAGAGGACCGGAGUGGACGCAUCACUGGUGUUCGGGUUGUCAUGCCAAUGGCACUGCCCGGUAGCUAAAUGCGGAAGAGAUAAGUGCUGAAAGCAUCUAAGCACGAAACUUGCCCCGAGAUGAGUUCUCCCUGAGACUUUAAGUCUCCUGAAGGAACGUUGAAGACGACGACGUUGAUAGGCCGGGUGUGUAAGCGCAGCGAUGCGUUGAGCUAACCGGUACUAAUGAACCGUGAGGCUUAACCUU